UCCACGCAGUAAACGAUGAAUACUAACUGUAUGCGAUAUACUGUAUGCGGUACAGCGAAAGCGUUAAGUAUUCCACCUGGGGAGUACGUUCGCAAGAAUGAAACUCAAAGGAAUUGACGGGGGCCCGCACAAGCGGAGGAACAUGUGGUUUAAUUCGAUGAUACGCGAGGAACCUUACCCGGGCUUGAAAUGCAGAAGACCGACGAAGAAAUUCGUUUUCCAGCAAUGGCUUCUGUGUAGGUGCUGCAUGGUU
Molecule: ribosomal RNA, 253 nt
Filed under: uncultured bacterium
Lineage: Bacteria
Description: partial 16S ribosomal RNA
Rfam family: Bacterial small subunit ribosomal RNA
Source: RNAcentral